UACGGAGGGUGCGAGCGUUGUCCGGAUUUAUUGGGUUUAAAGGGUGCGUAGGCGGCUGAUUAAGUCAGCGGUGAAAGACUUCGGCUUAACCGGAGCAGUGCCGUUGAUACUGGUUGGCUUGAGUGUCGGAGGGGUACAUGGAAUUGAUGGUGUAGCGGUGAAAUGCAUAGAUACCAUCAGGAACACCGAUAGCGAAGGCAUUGUACUGGCCGACAACUGACGCUGAUGCACGAAAGUGUGGGGAUCGAACAGG
RNAcentral lists this ribosomal RNA (253 nucleotides) under uncultured bacterium. Its description in RNAcentral is "partial 16S ribosomal RNA". It matches the Rfam family "Bacterial small subunit ribosomal RNA", at positions 524 to 776 of the family's 1533-position model. The record is from RNAcentral.